GAUGAACGCUGGCGGCGUGCCUAAUACAUGCAAGUCGAGCGAACGGACGAGAAGCUUGCUUUUCUGAUGUUAGCGGCGGACGGGUGAGUAACACGUGGAUAACCUACCUAUAAGACUGGGAUAACUUCGGGAAACCGGAGCUAAUACCGGAUAAUAUUUUGAACCGCAUGGUUCAAAAGUGAAAGACGGUCUUGCUGUCACUUAUAGAUGGAUCCGCGCUGCAUUAGCUAGUUGGUAAGGUAACGGCUUACCAAGGCAACGAUGCAUAGCCGACCUGAGAGGGUGAUCGGCCACACUGGAACUGAGACACGGUCCAGACUCCUACGGGAGGUAGCAGUAGGGAAUCUUCCGCAAUGGGCGAAAGCCUGACGGAGCAACGCCGCGUGAGUGAUGAAGGUCUUCGGAUCGUAAAACUCUGUUAUUAGGGAAGAACAUAUGUGUAAGUAACUGUGCACAUCUUGACGGUACCUAAUCAGAAAGCCACGGCUAACUACGU
RNAcentral lists this ribosomal RNA (496 nucleotides) under uncultured bacterium. RNAcentral's name for it is "partial 16S ribosomal RNA". It matches the Rfam family "Bacterial small subunit ribosomal RNA", at positions 28 to 506 of the family's 1533-position model. The record is from RNAcentral.